This 498-nucleotide ribosomal RNA is filed under the name uncultured bacterium. RNAcentral's name for it is "bacterial SSU rRNA". It matches the Rfam family "Bacterial small subunit ribosomal RNA", at positions 17 to 518 of the family's 1533-position model. The record is from RNAcentral.
UUAUGGCUCAGGAUGAACGCUGGCUGCGUGCUUAACACAUGCAAGUACGAACGGAGUUUUAACGGAAGUUUCGGAUGGAAGUUAGAACUUAGUGGCGGACGGGUGAGUAACGCGUGGGUAACCUGCCUCAUACAGGGGGGAUAACAGUUAGAAAUGACUGCUAACACCGCAUAAUAUAGCGAAACCGCAUGAUUUUGCUAUCAAAUAUUUAUAGGUAUGAGAUGGGCCCGCGUCUGAUUAGCUAGUUGGUGGGGUAAAAGCCUACCAAGGCGACGAUCAGUAGCCGGCUUGAGAGAGUGACCGGCCACAUUGGGACUGAGACACGGCCCAAACUCCUACGGGAGGCAGCAGUGGGGAAUAUUGGACAAUGGGGGAAACCCUGAUCCAGCGACGCCCGCGUGAGUGAAGAAGUAUUUCGGUAUGUAAAGCUCUAUCAGCAGGGAAGAUAAUGACAGUACCUGACAAAGAAGCCCCGGCUAACUACGUGCCAGCAGCUGC